CCUCACACCUGCUCUAAUUGCAUCCUGUAUUGUUGACCCUGCAUUUGAGCAGAGAGUUGGACAAGUUGACCUCCUAAGUCUUUUCCACCUUGGCUGCCGCACGCUGGGUCGACAUUUUCAUCGUGCUGUCCACUACAACCCCGAGGUCUCUCUCCAUAAGUUGGAAUCCAUAAGUUGGAAUCACCUUGAAGGCAGUCCAUUGCAUUGCAUUGCAGCCUUGCAGUGCCAUCUGCACACGUCUAUUCAGAAUGUGAUAAAGAUUCUGCGUUGAGGUUUAUCUGCUUCUUCGGGACGGGAAAGGUGCUACUGAUUCUUCCGUCGCUUCAUUCUAAAUUCUCGCUACAUCAGCAAGGCUGGAGUUCGCGCGCUAUCUUCAUUCAUUCUUCUCAAACUUUGGCAACUUUGAAGCGCAGAGCCGGAUGCGACGUGUAGACUUGCGUCUCUUCACAGCAUGAAUCUGUCAAGUGGAGAAUGAGGAGGGGGAACUGUCUGAGAUUCUAAAUUCUUCGCGCCUUCUUACAGAGUCCUGGUGACGCUUUGCAGAACACUGUUUCUAAACACUGCUUGCUAUGGCAGAGCGCCUUUUAUUUAUUGCCCCGUCUGGGAUUUCUACAAGUGAGAGUACUCUACGGGCCGCGCCGUCCAGUAGAUGGAAGAGCCACAGACUACAGCUCCCAUUGUGCAUUUUACACGGGGCCAGGCCUCGCACUGUAUGCUGGGAAUCGUAGUCUUGCUGCCGCGCCUUAAUUCUCACCCUGAACACGAAGGAGGUUAAUUCCUUAUGCUCUCUUUCAGCCCCCCCUCUUGCAACAUUUCACGGGUUCUGUCGCAAAUAGCCGCCUCGGGCCUUAAAGCUCGGAUUAAAUCCGAACCUUAUCCCUCAGGUAUACAAGCAGAUCCCCAGACCCACUCGACUCCUGUGGGAACAACCAUUACAACCGACUCAAUCGCCCACCAUGACGGAGGACGGCUUAACUCAGGUGUGGCGCCUCAUGGGAGACGUAGUCUCUCCCU
Long non-coding RNA from Rhineura floridana, 1014 nucleotides. RefSeq lists it as uncharacterized. The record is from RefSeq and is a predicted model, not a curated record. The transcript has 4 exons. Lineage: Eukaryota; Metazoa; Chordata; Lepidosauria; Squamata; Rhineuridae.